GACGAACGCUGGCGGCGUGCUUAACACAUGCAAGUCGAACGCUGAAGCUUGGUGCUUGCACUGGGUGGAUGAGUGGCGAACGGGUGAGUAAUACGUGAGUAACCUGCCCUUGACUCUGGGAUAAGCCUGGGAAACUGGGUCUAAUACUGGAUACGACAUGUCACCGCAUGGUGGUGUGUGGAAAGGGUUUUACUGGUUUUGGAUGGGCUCACGGCCUAUCAGCUUGUUGGUGGGGUAAUGGCACACCAAGGCGACGACGGGUAGCCGGCCUGGGAGGGUAAGCGGCCACACUGGGACUGAGACACGGCACAGACUCCUACGGGAGGCAGCGGUGGGGAAUAGUGCACAAUGGGAGAAAGGCUGAUGCAGCGAAGCAGCGUGAGGGAUGACGGCAUUCGGGUUGUAAACCUCUUUCAGCACGGAAGAAGCGAAAGUGACGGUACGUGCAGAAGAAGCGCCGGCUAACUACGCG
Molecule: ribosomal RNA, 472 nt
Filed under: uncultured bacterium
Lineage: Bacteria
Description: partial 16S ribosomal RNA
Rfam family: Bacterial small subunit ribosomal RNA
Source: RNAcentral